RNAcentral lists this ribosomal RNA (494 nucleotides) under uncultured bacterium. RNAcentral's name for it is "partial 16S ribosomal RNA". It matches the Rfam family "Bacterial small subunit ribosomal RNA", at positions 28 to 507 of the family's 1533-position model. The record is from RNAcentral.
GACGAACGCUGGCGGCGUGCUUAACACAUGCAAGUCGAACGGAAAGGCCUGCUUUCUCUUGUGGAUUGCGGGUACUCGAGUGGCGAACGGGUGAGUAACACGUGAGUGAUCUGCCCCCAACUUGGGUAUAAGCCUGGGAAACUGGGUCUAAUUCCCGAUAGGACUGCAGGGUGGUGCCUGUGGUGGAAAACGAUUUUCUAGUGGUUGGGGAUGAGCUCGCGGCCUAUCAGCUUGUUGGUGGGGUAAUGGCCUACCAAGGCGGCGACGGGUAGCCGGCCUGAGAGGGUGGACGGCCACAUUGGGACUGAGAUACGGCCCAGACUCCUACGGGAGGCAGCAGUGGGGAAUAUUGCACAAUGGGCGGAAGCCUGAUGCAGCGACGCCGCGUGGGGGAUGACGGCCUUCGGGUUGUAAACCCCUUUCGACCGCGAGGAAGCCACCUGGUUGGAAGGGUGGUGACGGUAGUGGUAGAAGAAGCACCGGCUAACUACGUG